UCCCCACUCGUGUGCCUCCUUCCUAGACUGCUGACUCAGUUUUUCCUUCAUGAGCAAUUUGAGGUUGUUCUGACCUGUGUUCUUUGACAGUCAUUUUGUCAGAAAUGGGAUUCAAUAAUGGGCCAAACUGCUGACUGGACUGAACCAGACAUGACAGCCUAGUCCCAGCAGGGAAGUUUCAGAGGGGGAUCUCCAAUUUGUGUCAACUAAUCUCUGUUGGACGCCCACACCAACUUCAGGAUGACUGGGAAGAUUCUAGUAAAAGCCAAAGCUGCCUAAUAGCAAUGUCUCCUUGCCACCAUUCCAAAGUUGAAGGUCUUGACCCUGCAGUGGCCAAACUUAUUGAAACCAACCUUUCAAAGUAGCAAACAUGGACUUUGUUUGAUGCUGCCCCUGGGUAUGUAGCUGCCCUCAUAGAAUAAAAACAAGGUAAGAAAGACA
RNAcentral lists this long non-coding RNA (441 nucleotides) under Monodelphis domestica (gray short-tailed opossum). Its description in RNAcentral is "lncRNA (ENSMODG00000043030.1)". Lineage: Eukaryota; Metazoa; Chordata; Mammalia; Didelphimorphia; Didelphidae. The record is from RNAcentral.